UACGUAGGGCGCAAGCGUUGUCCGGAAUUACUGGGCGUAAAGCGCGCGUAGGCGGCUUUGCAAGUCGGGUGUGAAAUCCCCAGGCUUAACCUGGGAACUGCAUUCGAGACUGCAUUGCUAGAGUAUGGGAGAGGGAAGUGGAAUUUCCGGUGUAGCGGUGAAAUGCGUAGAUAUCGGAAGGAACAUCAGUGGCGAAAGCGACUUCCUGGACCAAUACUGACGCUCAUGUGCGAAAGCGUGGGGAGCGAACAGG
RNAcentral lists this ribosomal RNA (253 nucleotides) under uncultured bacterium. RNAcentral describes it as "partial 16S ribosomal RNA". It matches the Rfam family "Bacterial small subunit ribosomal RNA", at positions 524 to 776 of the family's 1533-position model. The record is from RNAcentral.